This is a long non-coding RNA of Brassica napus (rape), 585 nucleotides long. RefSeq lists it as uncharacterized. The record is from RefSeq and is a predicted model, not a curated record. The transcript is spliced from 2 exons. Lineage: Eukaryota; Viridiplantae; Streptophyta; Magnoliopsida; Brassicales; Brassicaceae.
GUAACCGAUGGAAAUCUUGAGAGCACUAGGGUUUGUGCAAUGGGGGAUCUAUCGUAUCCAAAAGAGACCUUCCCCUAAUUAUCUUAUCGUAUUGCUGCUUUUUGCUAGUUGGAAAACCGGGUUUGUUGUCUACCGGGUGCAUGUGAGACGUGGAGGACGCAAGAGGCCUGUUCCCAAGGGUAUGAGAAACCCACUAACCAAGGAACGUGCUGAUCGCAAACUUGGUAGCCUAAGCUACAAACCCUCGCUUACUAUCCACUGUAGCAUUAUUACUGUCUAAUAAUAGGAAUUGAACUGUUACACGUUGGCAUGUAUAUAUGUGUACUGAUAACUGUUUAGUUCACGUUGCUGAUAUGAUGAUGUAUGUAUCCGGUUGAUUAAUGAUGGUUGUCUUUCAUUUACUUAGGACUCUACUUACAAGUACUACGAGAUUAUUCUUGUGGACCCUGCACACAAUGCCGUCCGAAAUGAUCCAAGGAUGAACUGGAUCUGCAACCCAGUGCACAAGCACAGAGAACUCAGAGGGCUCACCUCAGAGGGAAAGAAGAAUCGUGGUCUUCGUGGAAAGGGUCACAACAACCACAA